UGAGUAACGCGUAGGUAACGUACCUCUUACUGGGGGAUAACAUCGGGAAACCGGUGCUAAUACCGCAUAAGUCGUGUCUUGAAAUAGAUACGAUUAAAGAUUUAUUGGUAAGAGAUUGGCCUGCGUCUGAUUAGCUAGUUGGUAGGGUAAUGGCCUACCAAGGCGAUGAUCAGUAGUUGGUCUGAGAGGAUGACCAGCCAGAGUGGGACUGAGAACGGCCCACACUUCUACGGAAGGCAGCAGUAGGGAAUUUUGCGCAAUGGGCGAAAGCCUGACGCAGCAACACCGCGUGCGGGAUGAAGGCCUUCGGGUUGUAAACCGCUGUCAGCAGGGAAUAAAUUGACUGUACCUGCAAAGGAAGCACCGGCUAACUACGUGCCAGCAGCCGCGG
RNAcentral lists this ribosomal RNA (391 nucleotides) under uncultured bacterium. RNAcentral describes it as "bacterial SSU rRNA". It matches the Rfam family "Bacterial small subunit ribosomal RNA", at positions 107 to 520 of the family's 1533-position model. The record is from RNAcentral.